UACGUAGGUGGCAAGCGUUGUCCGGAUUUACUGGGCGUAAAGAGCGCGCAGGCGGUCGUUCAAGUCGCGUGUGAAAGCCCCCGGCUCAACUGGGGAGGGUCACGCGAUACUGAUCGACUCGAAGGCAGGAGAGGGUAGUGGAAUUCCCGGUGUAGUGGUGAAAUGCGUAGAUAUCGGGAGGAACACCGGUGGCGAAGGCGGGUCUCUGGGCCGAUACUGACGCUGAGGAGCGAAAGCGUGGGGAGCGAACAGG
Molecule: ribosomal RNA, 253 nt
Filed under: uncultured bacterium
Lineage: Bacteria
Description: partial 16S ribosomal RNA
Rfam family: Bacterial small subunit ribosomal RNA
Source: RNAcentral